AACGAACGCUGGCGGCAUGCCUAACACAUGCAAGUCGAACGAGACCUUCGGGUCUAGUGGCGCACGGGUGCGUAACGCGUGGGAACCUGCCCUUAGGUUCGGAAUAACUCCCCGAAAGGGGUGCUAAUACCGGAUAAUGUCUUCGGACCAAAGAUUUAUCGCCUUUGGAUGGGCCCGCGUUGGAUUAGCUAGUUGGUAGGGUAAAAGCCUACCAAGGCGACGAUCCAGAGCUGGUCUGAGAGGAUGAUCAGCCACACUGGGACUGAGACACGGCCCAGACUCCUACGGGAGGCAGCAGUGGGGAGUAUUGGACAAUGGGCGAAAGCCUGAUCCAGCAAUGCCGCGUGAGUGAUGAAGGCCUUAGGGUUGUAAAGCUCUUUUACACGGGAUGAUAAUGACAGUACCGGGAGAAUAAGCUCCGGCUAACUCCGUG
RNAcentral lists this ribosomal RNA (433 nucleotides) under uncultured bacterium. RNAcentral's name for it is "partial 16S ribosomal RNA". It matches the Rfam family "Bacterial small subunit ribosomal RNA", at positions 29 to 507 of the family's 1533-position model. The record is from RNAcentral.